RNAcentral lists this long non-coding RNA (729 nucleotides) under Bos mutus (wild yak). Its description in RNAcentral is "lncRNA (ENSBMUG00000024850.1)". The record is from RNAcentral. Lineage: Eukaryota; Metazoa; Chordata; Mammalia; Artiodactyla; Bovidae.
CGGGCGACAUUUUUUUCCCCUAAGCUACUGCACACUAAACAGGAAGAGAGCUUUCCUCGCAGUCUUCUUCAAGCCCCCCUGGUUUUUGUACUCGUUGUUGGUGGGUGUCUUUUAAUUUUUUUUUUUUUUUUGAUUCCCUGGACAAUGGGUUAUGAUAUCAAUAUUCACUGAAGACAAAAAGCAGCCUUUUCUGCGUCUCGGUGGUAGGCAUACUCCUCAUCAUCCUUUCAAACUUGGGGUGGACGAGGGCUUGCUUGCUCUCUGUCUUUCAAGCCAGCUCAGUCACCAGCCCUGAGCUUGUCUCACUUGUGAGCGGCUGUGGUCAUGUCGUGAGAGAAGCUCACGUGGGGGCCGAGGUGCAUGCAGCUGCCGCCCGGACGUCCGUCUGACCCGCGUGGACGUCUGCAGAGUCCGUGAGCGCGAAAAUGAACCCAGAGGAGAACUGGUGAGAUCGCGUCCUCUCCGGACCCCGAUCGACAGAGGGAGAGAGUCAGACCCACAGAGCACCUGCCCGGCCGCUGAGUUCAGACCGACUGCACCUCGUGGAGGAGGAAAAAAUGUAGUUAUCGAAUCCAGUCAAGAGUCUGUGUCUCUGGAAUUAUCCACAACAUCCCAUCGGGGAAGGGUCCAGGUGGUCCACAGACGCAUGGCGAUCCAAGGGCCACGUAAAGGUAAGGAUCCGCGCCCGACUCCAGGCUCCGCGUGCAGACGUGUGUGUACUGCCUCAAC